Molecule: non-coding RNA, 78 nt
Filed under: Flexivirga oryzae
Lineage: Bacteria; Bacillati; Actinomycetota; Actinomycetes; Micrococcales; Dermacoccaceae
Source: RNAcentral
UUGAGCCGGAUGCGGUGAAAAGUCGCACGUCCGGUUCUGAGGGGGCUCCGGCCCGGCAACGGGCCGGAGCUACCCGAC